RNAcentral lists this ribosomal RNA (380 nucleotides) under uncultured eukaryote. RNAcentral's name for it is "partial 18S ribosomal RNA". It matches the Rfam family "Eukaryotic small subunit ribosomal RNA", at positions 592 to 976 of the family's 1831-position model. The record is from RNAcentral.
CAAUAGCGUAUAUUAAAGUUGUUGCAGUUAGAACGCUCGUAGUCGGAUUUCGGGGCGGGCCGACCGGUCUGCCGAUGGGUACGCACUGGUCGGCGCGUCCUUCCUUCCGGAGACCGUUCCUACUCUUAACUGAGCGGGGGCGGGAGACGGAUCGUUUACUUUGAAAAAAUCAGAGUGUUUCAAGCAGGCAGCUCGCUCUUGCAUGGAUUAGCAUGGGAUAAUGAAAUAGGACUUUGGUGCUAUUUUGUUGGUUUCGAACACCGAAGUAAUGAUUAAAAGGGACAGUCAGGGGCACUCGUAUUCCGCCGAGAGAGGUGAAAUUCUCAGACCAGCGGAAGACGAACUACUGCGAAANCANNNGCCAGGGAUGUUUUCACNGA